GCUAGGUUAGCCAAGUGGAACGGCGACCGCCUCGAGAUCAAAACAAGGUAGCGGUUAUGCGCAAGCAUGCAGGGGUUCGAAUCCCUUACCUAGCG
Molecule: transfer RNA, 95 nt
Filed under: Nitrosotalea devaniterrae
Lineage: Archaea; Thermoproteati; Nitrososphaerota; Nitrososphaeria; Nitrosotaleales; Nitrosotaleaceae
Description: Candidatus Nitrosotalea devanaterra Pseudo tRNA
Rfam family: tRNA
About the family: Transfer RNA (tRNA) molecules are approximately 80 nucleotides in length. Their secondary structure includes four short double-helical elements and three loops (D, anti-codon, and T loops).
Source: RNAcentral